Non-coding RNA from Misgurnus anguillicaudatus (oriental weatherfish), 482 nucleotides. NCBI's taxonomy places the organism in Eukaryota, Metazoa, Chordata, Actinopteri, Cypriniformes, Cobitidae. The record is from RefSeq and is a predicted model, not a curated record.
UUAUUAGAGUGGUAGUGAUGUCGUCUUUUCUUCAGAUACUGUCUGUAGAUGGAAAAGGGACUACAUCAUCAGACUGAUUCAGUUCUACAAGUUCAAAUAUUUGAAUUGAGGACUCUGCUGAACAUGAAGAAAAAAUACCGUAUUGGGAGAAGAUGGCAAGAGUCUGAUUCAAACUUCCAGUCUACCCUUAAAGAUGUGGACCGUGAGCUCAGAGUCCAACUCAAAGGCUAGAACUGUAUCAAGGGAGAGAGCAGUCCUCCUCCCCCCGAGAAGAAUAUAUCCAGCUUUGCUUCAGAUGGGCAGGGCAUUGCCAUUAGACUCUCCAAGCAGGUAGCCAGCUCCAACAAUAGACUGAGACAGGCAAUAAAAGAAUACAACAGCAUUCAAUGGUCACCGCAGAUGAGCUUCUUACCUGCGACAAUUGAUUUUCAGGAAUCAUGUGAUCCCUCUUGGCAUGUCUACUUCUGCUUUGAUGACACUGU